This 257-nucleotide ribosomal RNA is filed under the name uncultured bacterium. RNAcentral describes it as "partial 16S ribosomal RNA". It matches the Rfam family "Bacterial small subunit ribosomal RNA", at positions 524 to 776 of the family's 1533-position model. The record is from RNAcentral.
GACAGAGGGUGCAAACGUUGUUCGGAAUUACUGGGCGUAAAGCGUGUGUAGGCGGCCACGUAAGUCGGGAUGUGAAAGCCCCAGGCUCAACCUGGGAAGUGCACUCGAUACUGCGUGGCUUGAGUAUCGGAGAGGUUGGUGGAAUUCUCGGUGUAGAGGUGAAAUUCGUAGAUAUCGAGAGGAACACCGGUGGCGAAGGCGGCCAACUGGACGAAUACUGACGCUGGAGGCGCGGAAAGCGUGGGGGAGCAAACAGG